Molecule: ribosomal RNA, 507 nt
Filed under: uncultured bacterium
Lineage: Bacteria
Description: bacterial SSU rRNA
Rfam family: Bacterial small subunit ribosomal RNA
Source: RNAcentral
UCCUGGCUUAGGAUGAACGCUAGCGACAGGCCUAACACAUGCAAGUCGAGGGGCAGCACAAGGAGUAAUCUGAGGUGGCGACCGGCGCACGGGUGAGUAACACGUAUGCAACCUGCCUUUAAGCGGGGGAUAACCCGGAGAAAUCCGGACUAAUACCGCAUAAUACCUAUUUACUGCAUGGUAAAUAGUUUAAACAUUUAUGGCUUACAGAUGGGCAUGCGUAUGAUUAGCUGGUUGGUGAGGUAACGGCUCACCAAGGCAACGAUCAUUAGGGGUUCUGAGAGGAAGGUCCCCCACACUGGUACUGAGACACGGACCAGACUCCUACGGGAGGCAGCAGUGAGGAAUAUUGGUCAAUGGGCGAGAGCCUGAACCAGCCAAGUCGCGUGAAGGAAAGAAGGUUCUAUGGAUUGUAAACUUCUUUUGCAUGGGAAUAAAGUGAGCUACGUGUAGUUUAUUGUAUGUACUGUGCGAAUAAGGAUCGGCUAACUCCGUGCCAGCCGCCGC